This 335-nucleotide ribosomal RNA is filed under the name uncultured bacterium. RNAcentral describes it as "partial 16S ribosomal RNA". It matches the Rfam family "Bacterial small subunit ribosomal RNA", at positions 338 to 688 of the family's 1533-position model. The record is from RNAcentral.
CCUACGGGGCGCAGCAGUGGGGAAUAUUGGGCAAUGGGCGCAAGCCUGACCCAGCAACGCCGCGUGAAGGAAGAAGGCUUUCGGGUUGUAAACUUCUUUUAAGGGGGAAGACCAGAAGACGGUACCCCUUGAAUAAGCCACGACUAACGACGUGCCAGCGGCCGCGGGAAUACGUAGGUGACAAGCGUGUUCCGGAUUUACUGGUAGUAAAGGUCGUGCAGCCGUAAAGGCAAGUCAGAUGUUAAAUCAACGGGCUCAACCCGUGAACUUCAUUUGAAACUGUUUCCCGUGAGUGUGGGAGAGGUAAUCGGAAUUCCUUGUGUAGCGGUGAAAUG